This 1181-nucleotide long non-coding RNA is filed under the name Musa acuminata (dwarf banana). Its description in RNAcentral is "long non-coding RNA (MACU_LNC006408)". The record is from RNAcentral. Lineage: Eukaryota; Viridiplantae; Streptophyta; Magnoliopsida; Zingiberales; Musaceae.
UGCGUUCACAGAAUCUUUGGGGCCAGCAACGUCGCUCGAAUGCUGCAGGUUUGUGUUCUUCCUCCAACACUUUUCCUUAUGGUUGCAAUCACCAGUUCAUGAUCACAACUACAGUGAACUGCUGCAAUUUCUAUGUUAUUUUGAUAGAAUUUGCUGCACCUCUAAGACUUAUUUAAUUUGAUAUACAAGGGAAGAAUUUAGCAAGGUUCAAAUAUAAGAAAAAGAAGAAAAAACUGAUGUGAGUCCAUCAAAAAAUGAUGUUGCUAAUGGUGAUGAUGAUGAUGAUGGUGUUUUGGAAGGAGCUUAUAUCUGAAUUAAUAUUAGCAAAAUUAGUGUAAUUUUAGCGGUGGUGAACACCUGGUUUUCUCCCAGUAGUGAUUAGUUUCUUAGUCCAAGUUAGGCUGCUAAUGUAACAAUCCAACUAUCUCAAUACGAUUUUUUUCAUUAAAAAGAAAAUAUAUAAACGGAUUCAAAAAUCUCUCUUUACAUCAGAGUAUAAAGAUAAAAUGAGUCAUUCCGGUCCCGACAAACUAAUUUUAUAGGUUAGACAUUUUGCCAACUAGUUAAUAAUCCUACUACCUUCACAUCAGAGUACAAAGAUUAAAAGAAUCAUUCCGGUCCCAAAAACACUAAUUGUAUAGGUUUGACAAUUUGCCAACUAGUUAACAAUCCUAUUACCUUGCCAGUAUACUUGUGAGAAUUUGAAGUCCACAGUAUGUCUUAGAUGUAGAUCGUCGUCUUUGGAUCUGCUUCAACAUGCAUUCUUCGCAUUUUUAUCUCUUAAAAAGAUACUGGAGACCUUCCCUGAUUGCAGCUGCCUCACUGUAUUGUUCUAUUGGAGAACCUGCAAUCAACCAACAAGUAGUUAUCAGUAACAUCACUAAUAGAAUAACCUAUACCCUCUUCAUGAUGACAAUUCAACCUUGCAUGUCUAGAAUUCUGCGGGAAAUAUUUCCUUAUAAUCUUAAAGACACCCUUACCAAGUCAUAAAACUAACAGUAAAGGCAUUGAAGUUGUGUGCCACAUUUUAAGAAGAUACUGACAUCAGAAUGUGCAUCUCGCAGCAAAUUCCAGUGGAGCACAGAAGACAAGCCGCAGAUGCCAUUGCGAUGGAGGCCUACUGGCGUGUGCAGGAUCCGGUUUAUGGGAGUGUUGGGUUCAUCUCAAUGUUGCAGAGGGAG